UUGAAACUCAAAGGAAUUGACGGGGGCCCGCACAAGCGGUGGAGUAUGUGGUUUAAUUCGAUGCAACGUGAAGAACCUUACCUGGUCUUGACAUGUCUGG
RNAcentral lists this ribosomal RNA (100 nucleotides) under uncultured bacterium. RNAcentral's name for it is "partial 16S ribosomal RNA". It matches the Rfam family "Bacterial small subunit ribosomal RNA", at positions 894 to 993 of the family's 1533-position model. The record is from RNAcentral.